RNAcentral lists this ribosomal RNA (497 nucleotides) under uncultured bacterium. Its description in RNAcentral is "partial 16S ribosomal RNA". It matches the Rfam family "Bacterial small subunit ribosomal RNA", at positions 28 to 507 of the family's 1533-position model. The record is from RNAcentral.
GAUGAACGCUGGCGGCGUGCCUAAUACAUGCAAGUCGAGCGAACAGACGAGGAGCUUGCUCCUCUGACGUUAGCGGCGGACGGGUGAGUAACACGUGGAUAACCUACCUAUAAGACUGGGAUAACUUCGGGAAACCGGAGCUAAUACCGGAUAAUAUAUUGAACCGCAUGGUUCAAUAGUGAAAGACGGUUUUGCUGUCACUUAUAGAUGGAUCCGCGCCGCAUUAGCUAGUUGGUAAGGUAACGGCUUACCAAGGCAACGAUGCGUAGCCGACCUGAGAGGGUGAUCGGCCACACUGGAACUGAGACACGGUCCAGACUCCUACGGGAGGCAGCAGUAGGGAAUCUUCCGCAAUGGGCGAAAGCCUGACGGAGCAACGCAGCGUGAGUGAUGAAGGUCUUCGGAUCGUAAAACUCUGUUAUUAGGGAAGAACAAAUGUGUAAGUAACUAUGCACGUCUUGACGGUACCUAAUCAGAAAGCAACGGCUAACUACGUG